UACGUAGGGGGCAAGCGUUGUCCGGAAUCAUUGGGCGUAAAGGGCGCGUAGGCGGCCCGGUAAGUCCGCUGUAAAAGUCAAAGGCUUAACCUUUGAAUGCCGGUGGAUACUGCCGGGCUAGAGUCCGGAAGAGGCGAGUGGAAUUCCUGGUGUAGCGGUGGAAUGCGCAGAUAUCAGGAGGAACACCGAUAGCGAAGGCAGCUCGCUGGGACGGUACUGACGCUGAGGCGCGAAAGCGUGGGGAGCGAACAGG
Molecule: ribosomal RNA, 253 nt
Filed under: uncultured bacterium
Lineage: Bacteria
Description: partial 16S ribosomal RNA
Rfam family: Bacterial small subunit ribosomal RNA
Source: RNAcentral